Molecule: long non-coding RNA, 495 nt
Filed under: Naja naja (Indian cobra)
Lineage: Eukaryota; Metazoa; Chordata; Lepidosauria; Squamata; Elapidae
Description: lncRNA (ENSNNAG00000003523.1)
Source: RNAcentral
AUUAAUAAAACUCCCUUUUUGCCAUCCUGUAAUCCCUUAAUUCAGGAUAGAGUCAGGGCUCCUGGAUGAAGUUGAGCAUUUUCUGACUGGAUGCCCUUCCUGGUGCCAGGUGGAGUUCAUAGCAGAUUUUGUUUUUCUUUGCACCCUAGGAGAGAAACACCUGCUGUUACCUAGGACUGAACUCUCAACCUUUCAAGUGGGAGGAGCUUAUGUUUAAGAAGCUUGGAUUGAACAAGGCAGCUUUCAAAGGAAGAGCUCUGCUCUACAGCUCCCUGAAUGUAUCCCUUGGGGUGCAGAAUCCAGGACUUGAUUCUGGCAGAUUCUUCUCAUAUUCUUGUGAUCCUAAUGGCAGCAGUAGAAAAUCCAUCCUUGUGAGUAGUAUAUAGUACAUACCCAAAAUAGUAUGUGCUUUUGAUCUUCUUAUAAAGCAGUAAGGUGGGCCAAUUGGAGGGGACUUAGGGGUUCAUCUGGUGAAAAUGUAUUCUGUGUGGUUCU